UGUCCUUUCAAAAAUGGCUCGUGAUAUACUAGCAAUCCCCAUCUCUACGGUUGCUUCUGAAUCAGCUUUCAGCACUAGUGGUCGUAUUCUCGAUGACUUCAGAAGCUCUUUAACACCACCGACACUGCAGUCGUUGAUAUGCACACAAGAUUGGUUGCGUUCUAAGUGUAUCAAUGUUGAAGCUGAUCUUGCUGAGUUGACCAGGCUGGAGGAAGAAGUGGGUGCCAUUCAUUUAAAUGAUAAUGUGACAAUAUCAAUUGAUUGAUCUUCAUGCGUGGAGCCGGAGUGGAAAAUUGCUGCCUGAAGCCUUGAAGUGAUGAAACAAAUGCCAUUUUAUCUCGAUCUGCACCUUUUGUUUGUGUGUGUGUGUUGCACAUGUACUGUACUACGCUGAACUUUGGUUGUUCCAGAAUUUGCACUUUGUACUGAAGUUUGUUAUUUUGAUGUAUUCCAGAAUUUCAUGUGUGCUUGUACUGGGCAUGUUUAGUUCUGCUUGUGCUUGUACUGGACAAGUUUUUGUUCCAGAAUUUCUUCCUGUGGUUUCACUGGACAUGUACUAAAUUAGUGCUUGUAGUUGUACUCGUAGUCUUAUACUAGAUUGUUGUACUGGAACAUAAAUUCUUCAUGUUUCAGAAUUUCUUCAAGUAGGUAACCAGGUUGUAGUUGUAUUGGACAAGUA
Molecule: non-coding RNA, 679 nt
Organism: Aegilops tauschii subsp. strangulata
Lineage: Eukaryota; Viridiplantae; Streptophyta; Magnoliopsida; Poales; Poaceae
Source: RefSeq, a predicted model, not a curated record